This is a long non-coding RNA of Coturnix japonica (Japanese quail), 2003 nucleotides long. NCBI's taxonomy places the organism in Eukaryota, Metazoa, Chordata, Aves, Galliformes, Phasianidae. The record is from Ensembl.
UUUGUUUAAUAUCUGUAAGUAUAUGAAUGUGAAGAGGGCCAGAGGGGAAAAUAAACCAAACCAACCAUCCAAAAGAACAUCCAAAACCACAGUGAUGGUGUUAUAUCAACAGGUAACAUAAAACAUAUCUAUAGUCAUCUCUAACCAGGCUGUUCCAUCUUGCUUUAAAAUGGCAGCCGCAGAAGAAAGGUAUACCUUGCAACGUUCUCUUAGUUUCAGCCAUAGCAUUUAUUCUGUGAUGCUUCUUCUAGAAAUGACAGCCUUCUAGUCAUUGUUCUCUUAAAGAAUUUAAUUUUUAUAGUACCAGACAGUUCCAUUUCUGCUCUCAGUACUGCAGUCAGUUUGUUUUUCAACACGGUCUUUAUCUCACAAUAGCUGUAUACUACUGUGUCAGGAUACUGUAGCACUGCAGUCAAUAGCAACAGGAUAUUCAUGCUGUCAAAAAGUAAUCCUAUAUUAUCCAUUACACACAGGUUAUUUCCGAGUGUGGUGGAAGACUUUCUUUAAAGCGACAAAGACCCUUUUGCGUUAAGACAGAAAUAAUGCUUCAACUUCGUGGCUGUCUGUGCUUUGUAAACAGCCAAUAAAUCUAAAUGCUUUUUUUGAGGUUGUGAAACACUUAAGGUAAAAUGAGAUUUCAGUAAUGCAUAGAAGUGUCGAAUCAGGUGCAUGUAAAUGUCUGAAAAGCUUCAGCAUUUUGUUUUUCCUGUUGUCAUAAAAUCCUGCAUUUCUCAACUUCAGCCCAGAAGAAACAGAAUUUUAACAAGCCAUUAACUUUCAUUUUUGUUUAUUCCCCCCCCCCCCAAUCACUCUGUGUUUGUAUAUUUAAAUAAUGUCCUUUAUUUUUAAGGAAUGAUUACAAAAAUAAUUUUUAAUAUAUAAUUUGAUUUGUAGUUUUCCACACAAAGCAAUGGAGACAGAGGAGGCAAAGGACCAGCUGGCAGACAGGCACCAAACUCCAGGUCUCCAGGUGACAUGGCUGCUCCCAUCUCUCCUUUACUACAGGAAACAUGAGUUCUCCUGCCUAUAAGAUCAGUUGUGAAUGCCAGCUGACCCUACACCCUGAGGAGAAUGGAAUGAAUUAAUAUGCUGUUGUGCUUUUUCUCAGCCAAAAGUUACCACUGCACUUGUUGCUUUGAGAAACAAGUCAAAAUAUCAUUGAUUCUCUGCAUCUGUACUUGAUAAGUAGAAUAUAGGUCUAAUUCACAACCUAUUGCAAUCAUUUAAAGGGAUUUCCUGUUGAUUCUAAGAGAGUAUUGAUUGCUUUCUAAACCAAACCUGGUUGGUGCUAUAUCUUCUCUCCACCUGUUUUCCUUUCAUUUUGUUUUAUGUCCCUUCAUUCUCUAUAGCUGCUCUGAUGGGAAGGGCCAGGUGCUGCUCCUCAGCAUGUGACGUGAGGAUGCUGUGUUCUUCCCCCUCCUUUUGCUCCACCUAGUCCAUGCAGGAGCUACCAGAUGUGGACCAGUUACUUUUGACCUUGAAAGAAAGAGCCUGAACCUAUAGCAUGGGGUUUACAUUACAGACUGGGAGCCUAAUGCAGGGCUAACGAUAAUGCAGUUUGGGAGGUCCAUAAAGGUAGCAGUGAGGAUUGCUGGAUAAAGCAAAUAAGCUAUAACCUCUGAAUGUGUUGUGCUGUCUUGCUGUGUACUUCUACAGAAAAAAGGGGCAUACCAGGCUGGUGUGGAAAUCAGUGGCACCUGGAACAUUGGUAUUUACCAGUGUAAGCAGGUGAGUGCUGCACUGGGCAGCAGUGAGAAUUGGUACAUAUGUACUUUUAACUCUACACAUAACUGAUUCACUCAAGUCCAAUUUCUGCUCUUGCAUCAGAAAAGCAGUCUGAGUAUCCUUAAUGGCUUUUAAAAUGGAGUUGUUGAUGAUGACUCAGAAGAAAGUAUAGCUGAAGAUGGAACAAAGUCACAGUUUGUGUGUGACUGCCUGAAUCAUCGUUGCUGGCAUUAGGAGGCAUACGGUCCACUUUUAUUCAAGUUCACUCCAGCUCUAUU